GCUGGAUUGGUAUAUUGGAUGUGCGGGAGUCUUCUAAGCUCCUUUAGGCGGGUUCGAAUCCUGCAUCCAGCGCCA
RNAcentral lists this transfer RNA (75 nucleotides) under Pseudomonas phage M5.1. RNAcentral describes it as "tRNA-Arg". It matches the Rfam family "tRNA". Rfam says of the family: Transfer RNA (tRNA) molecules are approximately 80 nucleotides in length. Their secondary structure includes four short double-helical elements and three loops (D, anti-codon, and T loops). RNAcentral also lists the same sequence under 1 other name. Lineage: Duplodnaviria; Heunggongvirae; Uroviricota; Caudoviricetes; Vandenendeviridae. The record is from RNAcentral.